ACGAACCGUCCAAACGUUAUUCGGAAUCACUGGGCUUACAGAGUUCGUAGGCGGUCUGGAAAGUUGGGUGUGAAAUCCCUCGGCCUAACCGAGGGACUGCGCUUGAAACUACCAGACUCGAGGGAGAUAGAGGAAAGCGGAACUGAUGGUGGAGCGGUGAAAUGCGUUGAUAUCAUCAGGAACACCCGUGGCGAAGGCGGCUCUCUGGACCAUAACUGACACUGAGGCACGAAAGCUGGGGGAGCAAACAGGA
RNAcentral lists this ribosomal RNA (253 nucleotides) under uncultured prokaryote. RNAcentral describes it as "partial 16S ribosomal RNA". It matches the Rfam family "Bacterial small subunit ribosomal RNA", at positions 525 to 777 of the family's 1533-position model. The record is from RNAcentral.